RNA transcript from Humulus lupulus (European hop), 5082 nucleotides. RefSeq lists it as uncharacterized. The transcript has 8 exons. Lineage: Eukaryota; Viridiplantae; Streptophyta; Magnoliopsida; Rosales; Cannabaceae. The record is from RefSeq and is a predicted model, not a curated record.
UUCGCGUGAAACCAAUAAAAAACCCCUCCAAAAUUUUCAUUUCCUUCUAUACAAGUCUCCCUCCCUUCACUUUCAGCCCCGAACCCCGAAUUGGGCUUAGGGUUCAUUUUUUCUCAUCAGCACAAAAUUGAAGGAGAAGAAAAAGAAGGUGACGAACCCAAACCUUCUCAUGCAGCUGAGGUCUCUCGUCAACGACGCUGGGCUCAUUUUCUCUCAAGCUCCUGCCUCGGAUCCCCUCUACUCUCAAGCUCCCUCCCUCAGAUCGGUGGGUGACAGAUUUCUCAAAUAAUUUGAUGGUUAACAUGGUUAUGGAGGAUUAACGGUUGACCUUUAAUAUGGUGGUUUUGGAAGUGAUCAUGGUUAUUGAGUCAAGAUUGUGGAAGAGGUCGUCACUAUCAGAGGUUUGGUUAUGACGCAUUUCGACCAUUUGGUGAUUUUGGCCCUCGACCUCCUUUUGACCUCGACAGUGUUCCAUUUUACCUGCUUGAGAUAUGCCGAGGGCACGACGACAUGUAUCUACCAAUGAACCGGACGAGGUUCCUUUACUGGCAUCCGAACUGGUGUCACAUGUGUCAGAAAGCAAACUGAAAGAAAUUAUGAAGCACUACCGCGUUCCUCCGGAGUACGCCUUAUACGCUCCUUUGGAGACAUGCCGGGCUGACCGCCCUAGGGCCGGCUUCGUGGCCCUUACUGAGCACAUUCUGAAGAAAAGAAGAAAGUGCAAGAAUUGAAGAAGUGGAUUGAAGAAUUGGAAAAUGAAUUGAGGUAUGCAUGGAUUAAGAAAUGGAAGAUGAUCUUAACACUCCUGAAUUUCAGCCUUUGCCUCAUAUACUCAACAAAGGCUAAAACUCUACUUGGAUAUUUAAGAGAACCAAGACAAUUAUAUAAGAGAACCAAUGUGUUGACCCUGAUUUUGGUCAACUGACACGGAGUAAAAAAUGCUUGAUGUAGACAGAUAUAUUGAAAUGAGGAUAAUGACAAAAACAGUAAAGCACACAAGAAUUUAUAGUGGUUCGGCCCCAGAAUCUGGUAAUAACCUACGUCCACUUGAGCUAUUAUUGAUAUAAUAUUUCAAAGGAGUGAUCAAAGAACUAGGGUUCAAUGAGUUUCACCAACCUCUGAAGAACAAACAAUGUAUCGAAUGUGAUAGCUCUAAUUCACUCGUAAAUCUCUAAUCUCCAGUAAUUAGAAAGAAAAAAAGUCCCUUCCUUGAGCCAUUUUUCUCUAUUUAUAGGCUCAAGGAAGAUUACAUUAAUUUGUUACAGAUAUUCUUUCCUAAAUAAUCAGAUACUCAAGAAAUCAUGGGAGAUAAUUUCGGAUAUGAUCAUAACUGCAUAAGAUUUUCUCCAAAUAUAACGAGCAUACGACCAAGCUGGUUGUAUAUUAUGAUUGAGCAUUGCGCCACGGAAAUCUUUCUAGUCGAUGGUCUAACAAGACUUCCGCCAGGUGUCAGCCACGUGUACCAAAUGUCUGCCAUGUCAUUCAUGCCUAUUUUUUGGAUAACAUUUGCCCCCCAAGUUUGUUUAAUGCGACCAGCGAUAAAGAAACUUUAGGGAAACAACCGUUCAUAUGCCCCACGAAAUAUGUCAGAGUCUUCGUGCGUUUUUGAAAACCGUGACAUAAUUAUGUCUAAUCACGCCUUUUCGGUUUUCAAGAAACCAAUUCGAUGGCUUAUACACUCCCCCACGUUUUGAAAAUGGGAAAGUCAUGAUUGCCACUUUUUGCUAUACUUCAGCCUCUAUAAGUAACCUUUUUAUCUCUCUUAUGAUCCUUUACUUCACCAUUUCGAUCAAGAACUUUCAAGAACUUUGCUCUGGAGCCCAGAAUUUCAAAACAAUUCAGACGUCCUGCCGAAGAUCUUUCCGACUCGAAAUUUUUAUUUUUCUGAAUCUCCACCCUUUGCCCAGGUAAUCUCUUAGUCUUUCAAAAUUUUCGUGAUGCCAUGCAUGUAGGUACUGUGCUCUGUGAUUUCCUGCGAUCUUGAGUAGAAAUUUAUGAGGAUUUUGUAUAAAUCAUCUGAUGCUUGGUACAAGAGUGUAUUUCUUCUUUAUAUAAGUUAGGAGUUAGUUCGAUAGUAAGGAUCAUAGGUUUAGGGCAUAAGAUCGACGUAAAAAUUCAAUCUUUAAGCUAGCUGAAAAAACUGGGUUUUUUCUCGCCCUUUAGGAGUUGAAAAAGUUUCUUUUCAGAAAACGUUUUAUUUCCUUUUUGAUCCGUUUUUCAAAUUGUUAGCACCAAACUUAGUGUAUGGGUAGGAUGUUGCUGGUCAAUAGACACGAGCAACGUUAUCCCAAUCCCCCACGUAACUCCCCAGGCUAUGUGUCUUAUCUCCUCCUUUGUCUGUUUGCAGUUCAUAUGCAAGACCCUUGGGGAGGAGAAAUACCCAUUGAAGAUGACCUCCUAGCUCAGCUUCUUGAAGGCGAAGAAAACCCCUCUACUCUGAUACUAGAUAUCCCUUUCUCUCGCCUUAGCCCAAACACUUCUCCAGUUCCAACCCAAAGAAUGGCUCGAACAAAAACUAAAGCUCAAAAAAGGAAAAUCCCAAACUCCUCAUGCCAGCCUACUGCUGAUGCCCCAUCGACCAGUGGUCGAGGCGAAAAUAUUCCUGACACCAAUGUACAAAGGCAUGCCCGUCCUCGACACGCUGCUCAGCCGAAUGUCGAGUGGCAUGUUGUUCCCCAGAGUAGAGUGACGAUCAGGAUGAUCGCCAACUACUUAAAUAAGUAUAAACUGACAGGGGUGACCCUGGUUAGACCUUCCCUUGACCAGAGGGCUAACCUGCCAGGCAGGGCCUACAGCGCCUGGUCGCGGUUUCACAUUGAGGCAGGUGACACUUUGCCUCUUCACUCAUUCUUUCAGGGGUUGGCAAAUUACUUUGGAGUUGCCCCCUUUCAAAUUACCCCCAAUGGAUAUAGAAUGCUGGCCGCACUCUAUAUCCUUUACAAACUCAAAAAAUGGCCAGAGCCCACUCCCCACGAGGUCAACUUUCUUUUUGACGUUAAGUUCAACCCUAACCAAGAAGGUACAGGGUUUUUCCAUUUUUUCCAUCAAGAAACCGGGCGCACUUUCCUGGCUGAUACUACUCACAUCUCCAAUGUGGGGAGGUAUCACCAGGAAUACUUCCUUACUCCCGACUUAGCUGUAGACAACUUGGCCUUCACCCGAGGAGGUAAAAAUUCUUACGUCACUAGCUUUUUUGCUUAGUGUUUUUCUGCCACAAUGUCUUGACAUUUCACUGUGUUCCAGGCCCAUGGUUACGUCCAACCCCAACUCCAGGGAUGGAGUCAAGGGCGGCACUCUUAGCCAGCAUGCCGAAUGCUGAUAAGAGUGUCAAAAAUUUAGUUACUGAGGCUAACCUUAGGUUGGCCGGCCUCUGGAAUCCCCAACCAGCGACGAGCGAACCUUCGGCGGAAAACGCCCAAGCCGAAGUGGAACUCGAGCAGUAAGCCCAAGCAUCUCCUCCGCGGAGGAGACCAACUGGGGUUACGAUCAGGGAACCUGCCAUCCCUCACCGAAUGGAGAAACCCUUGGCCCCUGAGGGCAAAGGAAAAUAAAAGGCUGAUGAGCCUACUGAACUUUCUGACGACUCGUUGGAUGAAAACGGUAUAAUAAUCUCGCUUUUAAAUCAUUUGGCAAUUCCCUCGCAUCUAUUUGAUGGGGAUGGCAACUUUAAGAAUGCUCCCUCCUUAAGUUCAGAUUUCUUCCAGGCAGUAGGUAGUUCAGUAAAUAAUGUUACGACCAGUAGUUGUAGCGCGGGUACUUUACUUGUAAUCCUUUUGCUUUCAUUCUUUUACCCUGCGUGAACAUUUAGUCUUACUGCUCGCGCUGCUUCCUUUUGUGCAGGUAUGGACUCCGAGGACAUUUUUGAGCACUACCAGGCUGCUGCUGCUUCUUCUGCUCAAAAGAAAGAUAGCAAGAGGGCUCGAGGGGAAAGCAGCAAGACUCCCUCGAAGAAGGCCCAAACAGACAAUGUUCCAGCCACUACCCCCUCCAAGGAGAACUCACCUCCAACUUCCUCCGAGCAGGCGACUCCCACUCCUGCUGAUCCACAGCCUUCUUCCAAGGCUCCUUACAAAGAGGCAUUGGACACUCGGCCCGAAGGCUCCCUGCCCAGCCUCGUGGUCAGCUCAGCUAGGGAGAGGAUAUACAAGCCCUUCAAGCACAAACACAGCCAAGCAGCCAUUACUGAAACUACCUCCAUGGAGGCUGAUCAAGUUGUCAAGAGAGGGCUGAAUGAGAUAGUCAGCGGGCUACUAACUUUAACUGUUGGCUGGCGCCGUUUUGGGGCGUUGGUUUCUCAGGGAAAGAACUUUGACUCCUAGCUUGCCGAGACUAAGCAAGCACUUGAGGCUGACCACAACAAGCUGCUUGAGGAGAAUAGGGAGCUGUCCAAAUAGAAAGAACAACUGUGCGAGGACAAAUCUACUCUCACCAAGGAGCUUCUGGAUGCCCGAGAUGCCCUGAAGAAAGCAAACGAAUCCUAGGAAAGAUUCAGGGAAAGUGCUAGGCUCAACACUCAAGCAUGUGCUCAGCUUGAGCUUGAUCUGAUCGCCAGCAGGCAGGAGACGGGGGAGCUUGAAAAACGAGUGUAGGAGCUCGAAGAGGACGGGGCCAAGAAUUUGAAGAAGUACAAGGAGGCCACUCACCUCUGCUUCUAUGAAUUUUGGAAGCAUAACCGGGAGGCUAACUUUGACUACUUGACUGAACGUUUGAAGAGGACUCUGAUGGCGCAGUGCGCCAUCCGGCUGGAAGAAGAAGAAAAGGCCAAAGUGCCUGCCUCUCCAGAGAUCUCCCUAGCAGAGGGGAUUGAUGGUGCUGAUGCUGAAGCUGGUCCUUCGGUCGACCAAGGCACUCCUCCCAACCCUCAGGAUCCUCCAGCUCCUUAAGAAUUUUUCUCUUUUUAUUUCGUUUUCACGGUCCACGGGUCGUACUGUAAAGACAAUUUGUUUUUGUUGCUGCAAGGGCAGCUUUUUACUUUUAAUUAAACAAUUACAUUCGAGCAGUACUGCUCGCGGUGUAAAAGAAUGCCUUUUGAUAUUAUAAUAUUUCUUUCUAUUAUAACAUAUGUUCGCAUGACCGAACUUA